GCUAAACGAGCCGCCUGGGAAGUACGUCCGCAAGGAUGAAACUUAAAGGAAUUGGCGGGGGAGCACUACAACCGGAGGAGCCUGCGGUUUAAUUGGACUCAACGCCGGACAUCUCACCAGCCCCGACAUCAGUAAUGACAGUCAUGUUGACGACAUCCGCUCGAGCUGAUGAGAGGAGGUGCAUGGCCGCCGUCAGCUCGUACCGUGAGGCAUCCUGUUAAGUCAGGCAACGAGCGAGAUCCACGUCCCUAAUUGCCAGCACCAUCGCACGAUGGGUGGGUACAUUAGGGAGACUGCCAGUGCUAAACUGGAGGAAGGAAUGGGCAACGGUAGGUCAGUAUGCCCCGAAUGGGCUGGGCAACACGCGGGCUACAAUGGUCAGGACAACGGGUUCCAACACUGAAAAGUGACGGUAAUCUCAGAAACCUGGUCGUAGUUCGGAUUGUGGACUGAAACUCGUCCACAUGAAGCUGGAUUCGGUAGUAAUCGCGUUUCAGAAGAGCGCGGUGAAUACGUCCCUGCUCCUUGCACACACCGCCCGUCAAAGCACCCGAGUGAGGUCCGGAUGAGGCCACAUUACUGUGGUCGAAUCUGGGCUUCGCAAGGGGGCUUAAGUCGUAACAAGGUUUCCGUAGGUG
This 638-nucleotide ribosomal RNA is filed under the name uncultured archaeon. RNAcentral's name for it is "bacterial SSU rRNA". It matches the Rfam family "Archaeal small subunit ribosomal RNA", at positions 814 to 1455 of the family's 1478-position model. The record is from RNAcentral.